UCCGUAGGGUGAACCUGCGGAAGGAUCAUUACAGAGUUCAUGCCCUUACGGGUAGAUCUCCCACCCUUGAAUACCUUACCUUUGUUGCUUUGGCGGGCCACGUCCGCGUGCCGGCUUCGGCUGGUUGCGCCCGCCAGAGGACCCAAACUCGUUUGUUUAGUGAUGUCUGAGUACUAUAUAAUAGUUAAAACUUUCAACAACGGAUCUCUUGGUUCUGGCAUCGAUGAAGAACGCAGCGAAAUGCGAUAAGUAAUGUGAAUUGCAGAAUUCAGUGAAUCAUCGAAUCUUUGAACGCACAUUGCGCCCCUUGGUAUUCCGAGGGGCAUGCCUGUUCGAGCGUCAUUAUGACCACUCAAGCUUGGCUUGGUGUUGGGGUCCGCGGUCCCGCGGCCCUUAAAAUUAGUGGCGGCGCCAUCUGGCUCUCAGCGUAGUAAUACUCCUCGCUACAGGGUCCCGGUGGCUGCCUGCCAGCAACCCCCCAUCUCACGGUGACCUCGGAUCAGGUAGGGAUACCCGCUGAACUUAAGCAUAUCAAUAAGCGGAGGAAAU
This 549-nucleotide ribosomal RNA is filed under the name Eupezizella aureliella. RNAcentral describes it as "eukaryotic LSU rRNA". The stretch from base 189 to 342 matches the Rfam family "5.8S ribosomal RNA". The record is from RNAcentral. Lineage: Eukaryota; Fungi; Ascomycota; Leotiomycetes; Helotiales; Hyaloscyphaceae.